This 144-nucleotide ribosomal RNA is filed under the name uncultured eukaryote. RNAcentral's name for it is "partial 18S ribosomal RNA". It matches the Rfam family "Eukaryotic small subunit ribosomal RNA", at positions 1299 to 1458 of the family's 1831-position model. The record is from RNAcentral.
UGGUGGAGCGAUUUGUCUGGUCAAUUCCGAUAACGAACGAGACUCUAGCCUACUAAAUAGUUCGGGGACCCCCACAAAGGGGCCCCGCUUCAACUUCUUAGAGGGACAGGUGGCGUUUAAGCCACACGAGAUUGAGCAAUAACA